GAUGAACGCUGGCGGCGUGCUUAACACAUGCAAGUCGAACGGAAAGGCUCCUGCUUGCUGGGGUACUCGAGUGGCGAACGGGUGAGUAACACGUGAGUGAUCUGCCCUGCACUUCGGGAUAAGCCUGGGAAACUGGGGCUAAUACCGGAUAGGACCACCUUUUGGAUGGUGUGGUGUGAAGUUUUUCGGUGGGGGAUGAGCUCGCGGCUUAUCAGCUUGUUGGUGGGGUAAUGGCCUACCAAGGCGUCGACGGGUAGCCGGCCUGAGAGGGUGUACGGCCACAUUGGGACUGAGAUACGGCCCAGACUCCUACGGGAGGCAGCAGUGGGGAAUAUUGCACAAUGGGCGCAAGCCUGAUGCAGCGACGCCGCGUGGGGGAUGACGGCCUUCGGGUUGUAAACUCCUUUCGCUAGGGACGAAGCGUAAGUGACGGUAAUUGGUGAAGAAGCACCAGCUAACUACGUG
This 465-nucleotide ribosomal RNA is filed under the name uncultured bacterium. RNAcentral describes it as "partial 16S ribosomal RNA". It matches the Rfam family "Bacterial small subunit ribosomal RNA", at positions 28 to 507 of the family's 1533-position model. The record is from RNAcentral.